UACGUAGGGAGCAAGCGUUGUCCAGAAUCAUUGGGCGUAAAGCGCGCGUAGGCGGCCCUGUAAGUCCGUUGUGAAAGUCAAAGGCUCAACCUUUGAAAGCCGAUGGAUACUGCAGGGCUAGAGUCCGGAAGAGGCGAGUGGAAUUCCUGGUGUAGCGGUGGAAUGCGCAGAUAUCAGGAGGAACACCGGUGGCGAAGGCGGUUCUCUGGGCAUGUCCUGACGCUGAGGAGCGAAAGUGUGGGGAGCGAACAGG
Molecule: ribosomal RNA, 253 nt
Filed under: uncultured bacterium
Lineage: Bacteria
Description: partial 16S ribosomal RNA
Rfam family: Bacterial small subunit ribosomal RNA
Source: RNAcentral